This 447-nucleotide ribosomal RNA is filed under the name uncultured bacterium. RNAcentral's name for it is "bacterial SSU rRNA". It matches the Rfam family "Bacterial small subunit ribosomal RNA", at positions 329 to 792 of the family's 1533-position model. The record is from RNAcentral.
UGCCAGACUCCUACGGGAGGCAGCAGUGGGGGAUAUUGCACAAUGGGGGGAACCCUGAUGCAGCGACGCCGCGUGAGUGAAGAAGUAUUUCGGUAUGUAAAGCUCUAUCAGCAGGGAAGAAAAAAGACGGUACCUGACUAAGAAGCCCCGGCUAACUACGUGCCAGCAGCCGCGGUAAUACGUAGGGGGCAAGCGUUAUCCGGAUUUACUGGGUGUAAAGGGAGCGUAGACGGCAAUACAAGUCGGAAGUGAAAUACCCGGGCUCAACCUGGGAACUGCUUUGGAAACUGUAUGGCUAGAGUGCUGGAGAGGUAAGCGGAAUUCCUAGUGUAGCGGUGAAAUGCGUAGAUAUUAGGAGGAACACCAGUGGCGAAGGCGGCUUACUGGACAGUAACUGACGUUGAGGCUCGACAGCGUGGGGAGCAAACAGGAUUAGAUACCCUGUAC